Molecule: ribosomal RNA, 341 nt
Filed under: uncultured bacterium
Lineage: Bacteria
Description: bacterial SSU rRNA
Rfam family: Bacterial small subunit ribosomal RNA
Source: RNAcentral
ACUGGAGGCAGCAGUGGGGAAUAUUGCACAAUGGGCGCAAGCCUGAUGCAGCCAUGCCGCGUGUGUGAAGAAGGCCUUAGGGUUGUAAAGCACUUUCAGCGAGGAGGAAGGGUUCAGUGUUAAUAGCACUGAACAUUGACGUUACUCGCAGAAGAAGCACCGGCUAACUCCGUGCCAGCAGCCGCGGUAAUACGGAGGGUGGGAGCGUUAAUCGGAAUUACUGGGCGUAAAGCGCACGCAGGCGGUUUGUUAAGUCAGAUGUGAAAUCCCCGAGCUUAACUUGGGAACUGCAUUUGAAACUGGCAAGCUAGAGUCUUGUAGAGGGGGGUAGAAUGCCAGGU